This 162-nucleotide ribosomal RNA is filed under the name Pterostylis grandiflora. Its description in RNAcentral is "5.8S ribosomal RNA". It matches the Rfam family "5.8S ribosomal RNA". From Rfam's summary of the family: 5.8S ribosomal RNA (5.8S rRNA) is a component of the large subunit of the eukaryotic ribosome. It is transcribed by RNA polymerase I as part of the 45S precursor that also contains 18S and 28S rRNA. Functionally, it is thought that 5.8S rRNA may be involved in ribosome translocation. Lineage: Eukaryota; Viridiplantae; Streptophyta; Magnoliopsida; Asparagales; Orchidaceae. The record is from RNAcentral.
UAGGACUCUCGGCAAUGGAUAUCUUGGCUCUUGCAUCGAUGAAGAGCGCAGCGAAAUGCGAUACGUGGUGUGAAUUGCAGAAUCCCGUGAACCAUCGAGUUUUUGAACGCAAGUUGCGCCCGAGGCCAAUUGGCUAAGGGCACGUCCGCCUGGUCUUCAAGC